Molecule: ribosomal RNA, 571 nt
Filed under: uncultured bacterium
Lineage: Bacteria
Description: bacterial SSU rRNA
Rfam family: Bacterial small subunit ribosomal RNA
Source: RNAcentral
AGAGUUUGAUCCUGGCUCAGGACGAACGCUGGCGGCGUGCUUAACACAUGCAAGUCGAGCGGAAAGGCCCUUCGGGGUACUCGAGCGGCGAACGGGUGAGUAACACGUGAGCAACCUGCCCCUUGCUUUGGGAUAACCCUCGGAAACGGGGGCUAAUACCGAAUGGUCACUGCCGGGCGCAUGUUUGGUGGUGGAAAGUUUUUCGGCUAGGGAUGGGCUCGCGGCCUAUCAGCUUGUUGGUGGGGUGAUGGCCUACCAAGGCGACGACGGGUAGCCGGCCUGAGAGGGCGACCGGCCACACUGGGACUGAGACACGGCCCAGACUCCUACGGGAGGCAGCAGUGGGGAAUAUUGCACAAUGGGCGCAAGCCUGAUGCAGCGACGCCGCGUGAGGGAAGACGGCCUUCGGGUUGUAAACCUCUUUCAGCUCCGACGAAGCGAAAGUGACGGUAGGGGCAGAAGAAGCGCCGGCCAACUACGUGCCAGCAGCCGCGGUAAGACGUAGGGCGCGAGCGUUGUCCGGAUUUAUUGGGCGUAAAGAGCUCGUAGGCGGCUUGUUGCGUCGACUGUG